RNAcentral lists this long non-coding RNA (575 nucleotides) under Pan troglodytes (chimpanzee). RNAcentral describes it as "long non-coding RNA NONPTRT016669". Lineage: Eukaryota; Metazoa; Chordata; Mammalia; Primates; Hominidae. The record is from RNAcentral.
CAGGAAUGAGUGAUUUUUCUUAGAAGCAGAGGUGGAGCCACCAAGGAAGCACAGGAUGAGCAUUCCACAGCUCGCACUCACUGGUCCCCAGUAGGAAGAACCACUGCUGCAUCCACUGAGGCUCCCAUUGUGAUGGGUUAUGUCGCCCCACGAUGUCAUCAUUGCUGAGCCCCCAGUGCCUCUGUGUUGUGGAGCAGUUAGAGACACAUGGCAGUGUCCUUGAGUGGCUCUGCGUGUGGGACCAUUUUCUAGGUGAUCACUCAGCAUAGCUUACUGAUCAGACUCAAGUGAAUGGAACUUGCCCUCUUCCCUUCCUCCUGGCUUUGGAACAGUUGCUACCAGCAAUUCCAUUCUGCAUCUUCUCUGGACACCCCCAGGACCAUCCAGGACAACCCUGCCUGACACCAGGCCUAGUGUGGCUCCAUGAUAACCAAGACGCAGGUCCAGAAACAAUCCCCCUGCAUGGUGCCUGCAUCUGACUCCCCUUGGUGGGUAGUGACGAUCACAACAUGGAAGAAGCCAGGACAGCUUGCAGCCAGCUGCUGUGCAGCCCCAGAUGUCUCCUGGGCCUUGGG